RNAcentral lists this ribosomal RNA (549 nucleotides) under Triticum aestivum (bread wheat). Its description in RNAcentral is "partial small subunit ribosomal RNA". Lineage: Eukaryota; Viridiplantae; Streptophyta; Magnoliopsida; Poales; Poaceae. The record is from RNAcentral.
AUGCUGUUCAUCCCAGAGCCGGAGGCGCUGUGGUAUCCCAUUCAGAUCUUCAAGAUGGCAUCGCCCGUGAGAGAUGGCUCGGGGGCGGUCGGGCCACCGCCACCUCCGUCGCCGCCGCCGUCACCGCCGUCGAGGGCGGACCAGUCGGGGGGUCCUGGUGUUCAUGGCGGAGGUCCAGGACGCCGCGGGUCCACAGGGCCUUCCGGCGCGGGAUCAGACUUUGGGGAGUCGUUUGGCUCCACGGCGGCGCGGUCGAAGGUGCCGCCGCCGGAGAGGAGCAUGGAUGGUCAAGGUGGGCCAGUGCAGAUGGAGCGCCAGCUGGCUGGUCUUGUGGACGCUAGUGCGGUGGCUGAUGCGGGUGGUGAGGUGCGAUGCGGGGUGAGGGAGUCCUGGAUUAAGGGGUAUUCGGACAGCCGGACUGUGUAUAACGUCCGGAAUAUUGAAGCAUGGAGAUACAAGACUCAAGACUUCGGCCUGUGUAUGGAUGGGACUCUCCUUUGCGUGGAAGGCAAGCUUGAUGAUCCGGAUAUUGUGUUUCCUUUCUUGUAA